GACGAACGAGGGUGGGGGGAGGAACACAGGCAAGUCGAACGGAAAGGCACUACGUUUGUGCGCUGAUGGAGUGCGGAACGCGGAAGCAACAGGAAAAUAACCGACCCUAGACUUUGGGAUAACUUAAGGAAAGUAGACCUACUACAAGAUAGCAUACCAUGCAGGAGGGAGGGGGGGGGAACGUUUCUGCGGGCGGGGAUGGACGAGCGGCUGAUGAGUUAGUUGGUGGGGGAGGGGCUUACCAAGGCUUCGACGGGUAGCCGGCCUGAGAGGGUGACCGGCCACAUUGGUACUGAGAGACGGCCCAGACUCCUACGGGAGGCAGCAGUGGGGAAUAUUGCACAGUGGGCGGAAGCCUGAUGCAGCGACGCCGCGUGCGGGAUGACGGCCUUCGGGUUGUAAACCGCUUUCGCCUGUGACGAAGCGUGAGUGACGGUAAUGGGUAAAGAAGCACCGGCUAACUACGUG
Molecule: ribosomal RNA, 468 nt
Filed under: uncultured bacterium
Lineage: Bacteria
Description: partial 16S ribosomal RNA
Rfam family: Bacterial small subunit ribosomal RNA
Source: RNAcentral